Momordica charantia (bitter melon) is the source of this 470-nucleotide non-coding RNA. The record is from RefSeq and is a predicted model, not a curated record. NCBI's taxonomy places the organism in Eukaryota, Viridiplantae, Streptophyta, Magnoliopsida, Cucurbitales, Cucurbitaceae.
ACUUGCAACCAUGCUUGCUUUGCCCUGCCCAGAACCUCUUCUUCUCGGCGGUCUGAAUCAGAGAGGCGAGAGGAAGCCGACAAUUUUGCCGACAUUAUGGAAAAGGUGACACCCUCUAAUUUCUCCGUAUACGGCUUCUGUUCUUUCCCCAAGCAGACAUGGAACCUGGGAGACGGAGAUUGCCGGAGAAGAAACAAGGGGACCGAAAUUCAAGGAAACCCUAAUUCAAAAAAUUUCAGAGAUGACGUUAUAAAUUCUGAUCCUCCUUUUCGGUUUUGGUGCUGUCGUCGCACGGAGGCGGUCGAAGCUGUGGCAGUUUUGUUGAUAAGGCAAGUGCAGCAGUCCCCUACAUAGUACCAAAUCAAAUGAUUUAACCAUGAUAUACCAGCGUCUGAAUGGAGGCAGAGACUAGAAUGGUGUAGUAUCUGCCAAGGAAAGAAUCUGCGAGAAAGCCUCCAAGCAAACAGAGG